Molecule: long non-coding RNA, 514 nt
Organism: Xyrauchen texanus (razorback sucker)
Lineage: Eukaryota; Metazoa; Chordata; Actinopteri; Cypriniformes; Catostomidae
Exons: 3
Source: RefSeq, a predicted model, not a curated record
AGAAGGGAAAGCGAAAGAGAAGCUUAACUUCCAAGUACAGACCCCAGGCCUCUUCUGAUGAAGAGGAGUCUUGUCUUCCAGAUGCACCAGCAGUGCUGUCGUUUCAGCAACCUCUUUUGAGCUUUGAAAACCUUGUUCCCAGUAACAAGGUUUCAGUGCUGCCCGAUGCUCCAGAGGUUGCAUCGAUUCCAGAAAACCAGGAAAAUGUUGAGCCAUCUGUAGAUUUCAGAGCUGGUAUGUAAAAUGUAGUGCUGUGAAGUUUGAUUUGUGAUCCUGCCAAUAAACUAUACACUUUGUUAGAUUUUAAAAUGUCAGUUUCCUCUUUCUCAGAACCAGGUUUCUCCCCAGUAAUCCAGACUCCACUUCACAGAGCCAAGAGUUUGAGUACAAGACACUUGACGGGUUACUCACCGCAGCAGUUUGUGGAUGAAAGGUGUCGAGCUCGUCAAGUACUAAGCUUUACACCCCCAGCAGCACAUUUACCCUGGCAGCAUAUGGGUGAAAACGCUGGAGG